GAAACAGCGGAGAAAGUAAGGCAAGCAAAGAAACAAAGAGCUUCAGAGUUCCUUUGAUUCUCUCAGAUUGUGACAAUGGAUGGUCAAUCCAAGGUUAAAGUGACGCUUAGGCUGGGUUCUGAAUUAUACACGGUGAAUUCCAAAGCGGUUGGUGCCGUCUCUGAGCAGCUGUCUUCUGUGAAAGAAGAAAGUAUGGGAGUAUUUAAGGAAUUUAUUACCAAACCCAACGUUCCAACUGAUGUUCCCGAUGAAUUGCUGGAAGGCUCUUCUGACGACGAGGAAGAUGAAGUGUCCAGGAAGUCCAAGACCAAGCCCUAAAAUCCCAAGAUAAAUUAGUGCUUUGGAAAUGAGAAGAAAAAAUGUAUGAAAUUUUUCGAGUCUUCAUCUUCUCCACUCUCCUGUGUUAUUUAGGGGCCGUUUAGUUCACGGCAUGCAUAUGGGAUUAUCAGAGAAAUACAAUCUUCAUUCUUCCUUAGACU
Long non-coding RNA from Hibiscus syriacus, 479 nucleotides. RefSeq lists it as uncharacterized. The transcript is spliced from 2 exons. The record is from RefSeq and is a predicted model, not a curated record. Lineage: Eukaryota; Viridiplantae; Streptophyta; Magnoliopsida; Malvales; Malvaceae.